UUCCUGGUGGUCCAUUGGCUAAGACUCUGCACUCCCAAUGCAAGGGCCCUGGAUUCAACCCCUGGUCAGGGAA
This 73-nucleotide transfer RNA is filed under the name Ovis aries (sheep). It matches the Rfam family "tRNA". From Rfam's summary of the family: Transfer RNA (tRNA) molecules are approximately 80 nucleotides in length. Their secondary structure includes four short double-helical elements and three loops (D, anti-codon, and T loops). The record is from Rfam by way of RNAcentral. Lineage: Eukaryota; Metazoa; Chordata; Mammalia; Artiodactyla; Bovidae.